AUUAAAUGGGAUGUUAAUUUUCAUGAAUAUUUUCCCCAUGGUUGUAGCUUGUGGUCAUUGAGCAAUUUAGCAAUCACCAUGUGGUCUGUUGGACACACAGCCUGGAUGAAGUUCAAGAAAUUAGAAGCCAGUCAGUGGGGACAAGGCCAGAACUCAAAUUCAUGUGUUUUCACUUUCUUUCUUUUUUUUUUCCUCCCACCUCAGGGGAUGGUUGCUUCUUUAUUACAACUUAGGUGCAACCAUAUGCCUGAGAUCCCUUUGUACCACCCAUAUUGAUGUUCCUUCACAUUUUCACUCAUUUCAUUUUAGCUCAUGUCUGUCAGACUUGUAUUCUGGCUGUAAAAUCCAUGAUUCAAUGAUUAUUUGCCAGUUCAUUCUUUGCCUCAUCAUGUAGGGUAGAUUGCAUCAUUAAUUCCAAGGACACUUAUGUAUGGUACAAGGCGUAAACGAUUUCAUACUUAUCUUCAAAGUGAGAGGGGUUUGUUGGAAUUCUGGAAAUUACAAGCCUGUAAGAGAAGAAAUUUUGAUACAACGACUAUGGAAAAUCAGGGUCCUGUAUUUGACGUGAAUACCAUCUUAUGUUUUUACGGUACCUUUCCUACAUCAUAUGAUUGCAAUUAACUUUCACAACACUUUGUGAGACGUCUAAGGCAGGAACUCUAUCACAGUUCCUUCAUUACCCAUCCUAUAGUCCUUAGAAGUGAAACUAUGUUGCUCAAGCGGACACAGCUAGGAGUGGAAGACCUCCUGCUCCACCCACAUUCUCCUUCCUCCCUAUCAGCCCUCCCCCACCUCAAUACCCAAGCUGUGUCAUUAGAAAUUUGUUAUGGAUAACAAAUAUAGCACGAUUCUCCCAUGACUUAUUUUUCUCGGUUUUUAAUAAAUUGUAGCAAGUCAAAUUUUUAUUCCCAUUUGUUAAUAUUCCUGCAUGCUUUCUUGAAGAGAAACAGAGUGGAUGGAAAUGUCAUAUAUGCUCUAGGACAGCAAUCCCCAACCCUUUUGGCACCAGGGACCAGUUUCAUGGAAGGCAAUUUUUUCAUGGACCAGAGAUGAGGGAGUGGUAGGAUGGUUUUGGAAUGAAACUGUUCUACCUCAUGUCAUUAGGCAUUAGUUAGAUUAUCAUAAGGAUCACACAACCUAGAUUCUUCACAUGUGCAGUUCACAAUAGGGGUUCAUGCUCCUAUGAGAAUUUAAUGCCACUGCUGAUCUGACAGGUGGCAGAGCUCACAGUAAUUCUGGCUCGCCUGCCACUCACCUCUGGCUGUGCGGCCCAGUUCCUAACAGGCCAUGGACAGGUACCAGUCUGCAGCCUGAGGAUUGGGGACCCCUGCUCUAGGAGUUAUGUGUGACACACAGAUGUCAGCAUAUCUCAUUGGCACCACCUGAGGAAUGGGUGUAGCAUGCAAAUUGAUAUUUGACAUAUUGUUGAUGAGAGUUUGCAUACCCUCUACUGUGUUAGCCACUUCUGUCUACUGUCUUAGGAGGAGAUAUUUUAUAGGGUCACUUCAAUGAUUCUCAUUAUUUAAUUGCCACCCAUGGUAGAACCCCAGAAGUGAAACUUUUUGAUAUUCUCUUUUCCAGGAUAAAAUUCUCUGACAUCUGAAGUUGCUUUCUGAGAAUUAAAUAGUAAAUGAAUCUGAGAUGAAUCUUUAAAAGUUCACAAGUAGAUUAUGUUAUUUGUUUAGCCUAUGAAUAAUUACACAUAUAAUCAAUAAUACAUAGUAAAGCACAUUAGAUGUAUUCCCAAAUAUACAUAUAUAUAUGCAUAUAUAGAAAAUAUAUGAGCAAUCCAUUUUUAUUCAAUAUUAUUGGAAAAUCAAUUGAUCUGCAUAUGUAAAAUUUUGUCUUCCUUACUUAAAAACUUACCUUUUAAGUAUUUUAACAAUUUUGAUGGACUUUCCUUUGAACUGUUUUACAUACUUCUCUUUCAGGAAAGAAAGAGAAUAUGGAACUCAUUUAGUCCUUUUUGGAAGGCUUGUGUUAAUACUAUAAACAGAAUUUAUUUGCUCUGUUCUCUGAACACCUUGAAGAUUCUUUGAGACAUUCUGUCCAUUGUAUUUUUGCGGCUCUUUUCUUACCGGAAUAGCCAGUCUAGUGUUUAGAGGUUUUAGCCUGAUGAUCUCUAGCAUUCUCAUAAUUUGCUUCUUAUCUGCAUUGAGCUGCAGCUCACGAUAUAAAAGCAUUAGUAUUUCGUGUGAAGUAAGAGUUAAUAGGCCCUGAAUGAUUAGAGUACAUAUAAAUUAUGGGGGCUUGAUGUUGUGGAAUAAUAACCCUGAAUUGCUGAUUCUCAGGCCCCUUUUUUCCACUUUCUCUUUGGUUUCCAGGUAGGAUAUAAAGAAUAGAAGUUGCCUAAUAAGUGAAGUGUUACUCUCCAUUAAAAAACAAUGAGGUGCAUAUGAAUGCUUUAAAUCUUACUGGGAUUAGCAGUGUUUAGUUUGGGAUGACCAAGGGAUAAGCAGGGAGCACUUCUGGCUGUGCAUAAGAGAGGAGUGUUUUUAUUUGUGUUUGUCAAGGAUGAACUUAUGAGCAAACUACAAAAGGACAUUGCCUCUUUAACGGAGGCUCUGGCUUGUGUUCCUGGGAGCUUCGCAGCGUUUGUUCGUAAAGCAGCAUGAAAGAGUUGAUUUUCAUUUUAUGUUGUGCUUGUGAGGCAUUAGCAUGAUGUUCUAACACUUGUAAAUGAAUACAGCUCUCGCCUAAUCUGUCAUUUUAAUGCCUUAUAGAUUUUAUUUCACUCGAUGUUGUACCAGAUUCUCAAUAAUAAUAAUCAACUGCUUUGUUGUUCUCUUGCAGAAAUUAAAUUUCUGCAGUGAGUGUGCAACUAAUAAAAGAUGUUGCUUGAGGAAACAAAAAAUAAAUAUGAUGAAUCAUAAAAGUUGGGUGGGGGGAGAAGGGAAGUUGCUCCUAGAUGAAAGACAAUUACUGAACCAGUGGUGAAUGUGUCUGAUUCUCAUACUGUCAACAGCUUAAUAACCGUCACAAAGUCUUUAGCCACUGUACUUAUGUCUGAGCAUUAACCUCAUGGACUUGGCAUUUCCCACGAUUUCAUUGAAAAGCAUUAAAAUAAAAAGGUGAGGUGGUAAAAUCACUAUUCUCUUUGCUUUGCACCCUAGAUAAGUUUGCUCAGGGUUGCCAUUUUGCCACACAUACAUGUUAUCUUUUCCUUGUCAUGAGCUAUCCAGGAGAGCAGCAUCAAGGCAGCUGUGUGGGACUUGGAGUACUGGCAAAGACUGCAAAGUGGAAAAUAAACAGUGUGUCUAUCACCAAGCUACAAGAACACAGCACUCAGAGCAGUGAAAUGACAGUCCAUGGCAAGCAACUAAUUGGUCACCAGCUUUGGAGGAAAUACAUUAUUCCAGACCUCUGUCAUUUACCAUGUUCUUUAAACUAGAGAAAAAUCUGCCAGGUUGAAGUGUUGGCUGCAACCCCCAAAAGAAAGGAAAUAGAGAGUUAAGACUGCGAGGCUGGGCAGGCACUUUGGAGACUGAGUAAUUGAAGACAUCCAUUGCUAGAGAAAGAGUCAGUUUCCUGAGACAUAAUGAAUUCACCCCAUUGCGCACAGGUAUUGUGUGGGUCCAGCACCAGUUAUGUGAUGAACGUUGUAUUUCACAUAGCUUCUGCCUGAGAAUACAGGCUCAAGUGAAUUCAGCAUGUGACCACAUUUUUAUGAGAGCUGUCCCUUUUUUUUCACAGUUUGUCUCUCUAAUUUAUCGUUUCACUUGGAAAGGUUGAUACAUUGAUGAGCUACGAAAAGCAAGAGGGAACAUGCCCAUCUACUAAGAGGAGAAGAGAGCCUAAAACAUACACAUUCACUAAGGAAGAGAAAGCCAAAUGUGAGAAGCAAUAACACAUGGUUUGCCAAAGAAUCUGCAUUGAAUAAUACUGGUGGUGACCACAAGAACAUGCCUCUCUGACUGCAAGGAACAAGAGUGACCCAGGGUUUCAGCUGCUGCCUUGGAAAUUCAUCACAGUGCAAGUCUAUGCUUCCCACGGGCUGCUCCCAGCCUGUGAAUAAGCCUGGCAUCUUUGUUGAGGCAGGCCUAUUUCUGGAGAUGCAGGAUCCUCCGAUGGGCGAAUUUGGCUCUAGGACUGCUUGAUGGCCUUGACAGACUUUCCUUAGAAAUGCAUGGCAAUUUAGGGUUCCUCCACCCUUCCCUCUUUCUCUCCUUCACCUAGGGUCGGACUUGCAUCAUGGCCUGAAAGCUCCACCAGCCUCUCCUGCCCUCCUCCUCAUUUUCUUUCACAGGCAUAUCCUCUAAUAAAUUUCUUGCACAUUGAAUCUCAUCUUGGCAUCUACUUAUUGGAGGAUCUGAAAAUUCACAUUUUUAACACAAUAAUAAAAUUCACAUUUUUUCAUCAUCCACUAUAUGCCAAGUAAUGUGUUACUGUGUAGUCUCAUUAAAUCCUCUCAAAUCCAAGAGAUAAGAAUUACAUUUAUUUUACAAGAAGAAAAGCAGUCACUCUGAGAGGUAAAAUAAUGUAUAUGGCAGUAGAUUGCAGAGUUAGCAUUUGAAGAAUGUUCGGUUGUACUCCAAAGCCCACCACAAAACUCCACCACUAAACCACAGCACCUUUGGAGCAAUUGGAAUGACGAUUCUGUUCAAAUCAUAUUAAUACCAAUCACUGUAUUUGACUUUUUCGUUUAGAUGUGGCUGUGAUUGAAAAAUCAUGGUCUUUGUAUAUAGUCACCUGUUCUAUCUGCCUUUGUUUUGGGGGACUGCCACCUGAAAUUCCUGACUUUUACCCUGGGAGGGGCUUGUGCAGAGGAUCUGAGUUACUCAUCUGAACGGACUGCCUAAAGACACCUCAGUUUGUGUUGUCUGUGCAUUCACUCAGCCUCCAUAGCUAAACUAAGAUGCUGGGAAUGAGAGACUGUUCAAGGAGUAGAAGCCUUGCUUCUAGCUUCUAUAUUCCUCCUACCACCUAUGACUUUUAGCGUUGUCAGGGAAGUCAUGAGGUUAGAGCUGAUUUUUUUUUUAAGAAAAUGAGAAACAUAAAUGUUCUCUUUUCAAGGUUUCUGUUUGAUAGUGUUUGCUAGACAAAGUAGAAUUUUCACAGUACAAGUCCUUAGCUCAAGAGCUCCACUCAGUCAGCAGUUAUUUCAUCUGCCUUUUAUCCAGCCUUUCUCGUUUAAAAAAAGGAAAAAGAGAAAUUUAUCCACUCAAAGUGAGCUUUUUGCUAAACUUGUGUCUUUCCCUUGUUUGUCAUGUUAAUUACAUCCCAAACAACCCUAUUGCAGAGAAUUCUGCAAUCAAACCCCAAAGUCCCAUCAGAUGUACAGUGGCUUUUAAAGUGGACUGAUUUUUUAUGUAAUAAUAAAUUUAGUGUUAUGCUUACCUCUAAAUAAAUGCAGAUUCUGCUUCUUAGAA
This is a long non-coding RNA of Homo sapiens (human), 5369 nucleotides long. RefSeq lists it as uncharacterized. The transcript has 2 exons. The record is from RefSeq and is a predicted model, not a curated record. Lineage: Eukaryota; Metazoa; Chordata; Mammalia; Primates; Hominidae.